UUUUUCUGAAAUCUACCAACGUUUCCAUUGAAAAAUUACUAACCAAGAACAGUGAGCAAGUUAUCUUUAUGAAAUCAACAUUAUCCAUUGAAGAAUUACCAAUCAAACCAACAUUUUUCUGAAAAGGGGCAUUUCAUAAAUCUCAAUUGGGCUUCAUAGAGUCUUGAGAAUUGGAUUGAAGAUAAUUAGGGCAAAAUAUACAUCCUAUGUUAGAAUCGGGCGGCAGACCCCGCCUUCACCGAAGCCACGAGCACCACUUCUCACGUUGGUUCCGCAACCCUAACCGGCGUCUCUCUUCUUGAUUCUAGCACUGGAUUCGCUGAAAUUUGCCGCAGCCUUGAACAAUAUUCGCAAUUUCGAACCACAAUCGCAACUUUCAAUUUUCUGAUUUUGUUGCCUAUCAAGAUUGAAGGCGACAUCAUCAAAGAACCCUUCUAGUUGAUAGUUGUGAUCAGGAUUCGAAUCUUUAACGAGACAUCGUAGUUGUUUACAGAUCGGAACCAGUCGGGAACGAUGGGUUAGCAGUGUUUGGAUAGCGUUCUAAGGAUGUGUAUUAAGCUGAGCACGUAGGAAUUAUAGAUUUGUAUUAGGAAUUUUGGAUAAAUGUAUAUUUGUUUUGGCUGUGCUGGUUAUAUCGAACUUGUAGAGAAUUGUAUGAUUAUCUUGUGUAUUAGUUAGAUAUUGGUUUUGAGAUUUAGCUGAGUUAGUCACGUUGAGGAGCUUGUGACCCCUUUGCUUGAGUUUUAAAAGUGUGAUUUUAGUUUUUUGGGUUAUAAUCCUCGUAACGACCCUGUUUACCCAGUCAGCGGUAAGUCGGGUUGUUACAGUUGGUAUCAGAGCCAACCCGCGACCGUGGCUAAUCCUUAGGGUUAGUUCAUCUAACGGGUAUACAAUCUUGGGAGUACAGAAAAACGUGAUUUGAGGAUUUAGAUGUUUGAGAUAAUAGAUAGGAACAAAAAUGAAUAUGAUUGUGGUAUUAACCUAGGUGUUUGAGUUAGUCAUGUUUUCUUUGAAAUGUAGAUGUGAGGUGUGAGGAUUACGGGGUAAAACGGGAAAACGCUCUUAACGAUUGAUCGUGACGACAAGAAGAUUCAGUUCGACGAUGCAACGUUUGAAUUUGUUUUCUGAUGAUGCUAAUGUCUUGUUGCUUAUCAUAGUUCUUUGUCGAUUAUCGUUUUAGUAGCUAGAAUAGUAUGUCCUAAGAUUGCAUAUCGUGUCACCUUGUUGCUAGCCUUUUUCUAUCAGUCUUUAUUUGUUGAUCCAUGAUUAUGAUUAUAGUUUAGUGCACGAAAGCAAGGUCAUCGGGUUGUGAAGUAUGUAUCGUUAGUGUUUUGUUGUAAGUAAGUUGAACUUUGGAAACGAUUGUGACAUAGUAGGAGAAUUAGUAAAGACAAAGUACUGCACAUCAUUGAUGGAAAAGCUUAAGUUAAGAGCAAUUGAUAUUGAUUUUCAAUCCUAGUGAUUGAGCUGCAUAUAGUGUUUAUAUUUUGACGUAAGCGAUGAACUUUUAGUGUUAAUGGAUCUUGUCGUACGUUGUAAAUUGUUUGAGUAGUGGAGCCUAUAAAUUUAGUAGAUUUAUUAGAAAAUUGUGUGAUUAUCAUUAAGAAUGUACCAAGUUUCUUUUGUUGGUUAGAAGUGCAAAUAUAAUUUAAGGAUGGAAGAUCACUGGUAAACUUGAGGUUUUGUUAAGUACAAGAAGGUUGUUACAGCAAGAAUAGAAGUAGGUUUUCAACAAAAGUUAUUAUAAAGGAUCUUGAGUCAUAGACUUAAGUUAUCAAAAUAAUAUGGUUUAUAUGUUGUAAAUAUGGCAUUCAAAGUUUAAAAUGUUGGGUAUUAUAGGUUAUUUGAUUGAGACACUAGUUGGUAAAAUUGUGAACACCUCAUAGAUGAUCUUAGUGGGUAUAUGUGAAAAUAGUCAAUAAUUGAGCUGUUAUUGUUGAAGUGUUGUGCGUAGCAGUUAUGAUAAGAAUUUAUGUUUGGGUUAAAGCUUGUAAGGAUUAUGGUCUAGAGAUGUGGAUGAAGAAUGAUAGGUUUUGUUUGGCAAGUGGUGCAUGAUAUCAACCUAGGUGAGGAAGUUUAUCGUCUUGCGUUACCAGCAUCUUUUGACCGAAUGCAUGACGUGUUUCGCGUAUCCCAGCUGAGACAAAACAUCAGAGACGACUCACACGUUCUUCAGCUCGAACAGUUGAUCUUGGAUGACACCUUACAGUAUGAGGAGAUUCUCGUUCAGAUUCUAGAUAGGAAGACGCGUGAUACAUGUCGGGGCAGUGUAACGCUUGUGAAGGUGCUAUGGUCUAAACACGUUACCGAAGAAGCCAUGUGGGAGACAGAAGACGCCAUGAGACGCGAUUAUCCCUGGUUGUUUGCUCAAGUAUUUCUAUGUUUAUCGCUUUAUAGCUAUUGCAUCUCUUUAGUCUUUGUGAGUUAAGUUUAAGGAUGAUCUCCAUUCUAAGUUGGGUAACAUAUCCUUAUGAUAUGAAAGAUAGUUGGGUAUUUGAAUAUGUGUGCUUGAGACUUUAGUUUAACUUCGAGGACGAAGUUUAUUUCAAGUUGGGUAGAAUGUAACAUUCGAAAAAAAAUUAAUAUUUUAAGACGAGUAAGUUUAAUAGAAUUAUCAGUGCGAGAAUGACCUUAAAUACACAUGACAUGAAACAUUCUCAAUUUAAUUUCUUUCCUCUUUCCCUUUCUUUUAGUUUGAUUUUAAAAAAUAUAUAUAUAUAUAUAUAUUAAAAAAAUAUAUAUUAAAAGAAAAUUAGUAAAAAUCACUUUCAUUACAAUUUUUUUUUUCCAUUAUAAUGCUCAAUAAUUUUUUUUCCCAAUUUAAUGUCCACGUGGACUAUUAUUACUUAAACCCACUUCUUCCCCUUUCUUCUUCAUGUUACUGUGAAUGUUAGAAACCCAAAUCAUUUUUCUGAAAUCUACCAACGUUUCCAUUGAAAAAUUACUAACCAAGAACAGUGAGCAAGUUAUCUUUAUGAAAUCAACAUUAUCCAUUGAAGAAUUACCAAUCAAACCAACAAUUUUCUGAAAAGGGGCAUUUCAUAAAUCUCAAUUGGACUUCAUAGAGUCUUGAGAAUUGGAUUGAAGAUAAUUAGGGCAAAAUAUACAUCCUAUGUCAGAAUCGGGCGGCAGACCCCGCCUUCACCGAAGCCACGAGCACCUCUUCUCACGUUGGUUCCGCAACCCUAACCGGCGUCUCUCUUCUUGAUUCUAGCACUGGAUUCGCUGAAAUUUGCCGCAGCCUUGAACAAUAUUCGCAAUUUCGAACCACAAUCGCAACUUUCAAUUUUCUGAUUUUGUUGCCUAUCAAGAUUGUUGUUUACAGAUCGGAACCGGUCGGGAACGAUGGGUUAGCAGUGUUUGGAUAGCGUUCUAAGGAUGUGUAUUAAGCUGAGCACGUAGGAAUUAUAGAUUUGUAUUAGGAAUUUUGGAUAAAUGUAUAUUUGUUUUGGCUGUGCUGGUUAUAUCGAACUUGUAGAGAAUUGUAUGAUUAUCUUGUGUAUUAGUUAGAUAUUGGUUUUGAGAUUUAGCUGAGUUAGUCACGUUGAGGAGCUUGUGACCCCUUUGCUUGA
This is a long non-coding RNA of Amaranthus tricolor (Joseph's coat), 3572 nucleotides long. RefSeq lists it as uncharacterized. The record is from RefSeq and is a predicted model, not a curated record. The transcript is spliced from 4 exons. NCBI's taxonomy places the organism in Eukaryota, Viridiplantae, Streptophyta, Magnoliopsida, Caryophyllales, Amaranthaceae.